Molecule: long non-coding RNA, 792 nt
Organism: Brassica napus (rape)
Lineage: Eukaryota; Viridiplantae; Streptophyta; Magnoliopsida; Brassicales; Brassicaceae
Exons: 5
Source: RefSeq, a predicted model, not a curated record
GUCUUUUUUUUUGCUGGCCAAUUUAGUACUUGGUCGUAAAGACCGUUUACGUGUUGAAAAAAAAGAACAGAAAGGAAAGAAAAAUAAAAAAAAAGGACAGGUCUAAAACGGUCUCUUUACCGAGGAAAGAUGAUAUGAAGACAAAUCGUUUCCCAUGGUGAAAAUCAAAGGUAGUCGACUAUUGCCUGAGUAAAUAACAACUCAGAAACUCGAAAUCAAAAGAUGAAUGUGUUCUUAGAUCUGAAAUAUUAUGAAAGGGAACAGACGAUUACCAUGCAAUCAUUUUACGUCGGGGAUUCUGCAUAAAUCUGAAGAAACCUGGUUUAUACUAUGGAAACCACGAGCAAGAACAAUGGUGGUUCUGUGACUUUUGAAUAUUGGAUCUCAAAACUUGGAGUGAACAUUCAGUUUAUGCCCAAUACAUAACAGUUAGCAUAACCGGUCGAUGUUCACACAACCAACAUAAAAAAAAGUAGGAAACAUGGAUUCAUUGUCUGCUCCGGCUGCAAGCGAGGAAAGGAUAUAUAAUACUACAACAGUGAAAGAUAAGUUCCUUUAAACAAUUGUAAAAAGACUAUUUAUUUAAACAGAAAGUUCUUAGACUUUUAGUUUGAUAUAUUCUGUUGUAGCAAGUAGAGAGUAACAAAAGCUUACACUCUCAUCAGCCAAGAUGAAUUUUAUGGUUUCCCCUGAUAGUUGUAUGUUUUGUUUUCAAGAGUGUAGAACCUUCACAUGAAUAAACCAUGUAUUUUUCCAAGGCCUCAAGUCUUUAAUGGCAGUAACUUUUUCGUA